ACAGACUCUCUUGAGAACUAAGAAGAAUGGGAGGGAGAAAAAAGAGGGCUAGGAUUUUUCUUAUUUUUCUUUCUUACUUUAGGCAUCCAAGUAUUGGACCCUUUUUAUAAGAAGGGCUAGGGAUUAGAGUUUGGAGGAGGGGCUGCCAUCAAAAGUUUCCAUAAAAUCUCUGAUUGAUUUUCUUCUUAUCUCCUUAUCUAGAUUUGAAUCAAAUUCAAAACAAGAAGGAACAAGGAUCAUGACUUA
This 246-nucleotide long non-coding RNA is filed under the name Elaeis guineensis (African oil palm). RNAcentral's name for it is "long non-coding RNA (EGUI_LNC075335)". The record is from RNAcentral. Lineage: Eukaryota; Viridiplantae; Streptophyta; Magnoliopsida; Arecales; Arecaceae.